GCCGGUGUGGCGCAGUUGGUAGCGCAGACGACUUGUAAUCGUCAGGUCGUGGGUUCGACUCCCACCGCCGGCU
RNAcentral lists this transfer RNA (73 nucleotides) under Acidimicrobiales bacterium. RNAcentral describes it as "tRNA-Thr". It matches the Rfam family "tRNA". Rfam says of the family: Transfer RNA (tRNA) molecules are approximately 80 nucleotides in length. Their secondary structure includes four short double-helical elements and three loops (D, anti-codon, and T loops). Further hydrogen bonds mediate the characteristic L-shaped molecular structure. tRNAs have two regions of fundamental functional importance: the anti-codon, which is responsible for specific mRNA codon recognition, and the 3' end, to which the tRNAs corresponding amino acid is attached (by aminoacyl-tRNA synthetases). tRNAs cope with the degeneracy of the genetic code in two manners: having more than one tRNA (with a specific anti-codon) for a particular amino acid; and 'wobble' base-pairing, i.e. permitting non-standard base-pairing at the 3rd anti-codon position. The record is from RNAcentral. Lineage: Bacteria; Bacillati; Actinomycetota; Acidimicrobiia; Acidimicrobiales. RNAcentral also lists the same sequence under 1 other name.